UUCAACAAAUCAUCACUGAUCGUGAAUCAGCUUUGGAGGAUUUUGAAAGUCAGAAGCAAACCAUCAACAAAUCAAUCAUUGAUACACGAGCGAGAAUACUGAAAAAGUUAGAAGACUUAGGACUGAAACUUCUUUAAGAGUUAGACACAAAACAUGAAUAUAGUAAGUCGGAAGCAAACACACUUCUAAACCGUAUGAAAAACGCAAAACGAGAUUUAAGUUGUCUGAGGGAGCAAACUUCUCAUUCGCGUCCGACAUUCAGCUUUUCUUGGGAACGCGCCAGAUCAAUGAAGCCGUCUUCAAAGAAGUAAACUCGAUCAAAGAAGGAAUCAAGUCUG
Molecule: long non-coding RNA, 338 nt
Filed under: Mytilus galloprovincialis (Mediterranean mussel)
Lineage: Eukaryota; Metazoa; Mollusca; Bivalvia; Mytilida; Mytilidae
Source: RNAcentral